Molecule: ribosomal RNA, 256 nt
Filed under: uncultured bacterium
Lineage: Bacteria
Description: partial 16S ribosomal RNA
Rfam family: Bacterial small subunit ribosomal RNA
Source: RNAcentral
UACGAAGGGUGCAAGCGUUACUCGGAAUUACUGGGCGUAAAGCGUGCGUAGGUGGUGAGUUAAGUCUGUCGUGAAAGCCCCCGGGCUCAACCUGGGAAUGGCGAUGGAUACUGGCUCGCUAGAGUGCGGUAGAGGAGAGUGGAAUUCCCGGUGUAGCAGUGAAAUGCGUAGAGAGUCGGGAGGAACAUCAGUUGCGAAGGCGGCUCUCUGGGCAGUAACUGACGCUGAGGAGCGAAAGCGUGGGGAGCCGAACAGG